RNAcentral lists this ribosomal RNA (1543 nucleotides) under human gut metagenome. Its description in RNAcentral is "bacterial LSU rRNA". It matches the Rfam family "Bacterial large subunit ribosomal RNA", at positions 388 to 2007 of the family's 2925-position model. The record is from RNAcentral.
GAUUGAGUGCUAGCAGUAUCCAGAGUACCAGCGGACACGUGAAACCCGCUGGGAAGAUGGGGGGACCAUCCUCCAAGCCUAAAUACUACUCAGUGACCGAUAGUGGAGCAGUACCGUGAGGGAAAGGUGAAAAGUACCCCGGGAGGGGAGUGAAAGAGAACCUGAAACCUUGUGCCUACAAGCACCGAGAGCACGUUAAAGUGUGAUCGGGUACUUUUUGUAGAACGGUCCGGCGAGUUAAUAUUUGCAGCGAGGUUAAGUAACUGGAGUUACGGAGCCGCAGCGAGAGCGAGUCUGAAUAGGGCGUAUGAAGUUGCAGGUAUUAGACCCGAAACCGGGUGACCUAUCCAUGAGCAGGCUGAAGCGGUGGUAAGACACCGUGGAGGGCCGCACCCACGUCUGUUGAAAAAGCCGGGGAUGACUUGUGGAUAGCGGAGAAAUUCCAAUCGAACUCGGAGAUAGCUGGUUCUCCCCGAAAUAGCUUUAGGGCUAGCGUUAUUUUAGAUUACCGGAGGUAAAGCACUGAAUGGUCUAGGGGCCGCGAGGUUACCAAAGCCUAUCAAACUCUGAAUGCCGGAUAAUUGAUGAAUAGCAGUCAGACUGUGUGAGAUAAGUCUCAUAGUCAAAAGGGAAACAGCCCAGAUCUACAGCUAAGGUCCCAAAUGAACACUAAGUGGAAAAUGAUGUGAAACUGCGAAGACAACCAGGAUGUUGGCUUAGAAGCAGCCACUCAUUCAAAGAGUGCGUAAUAGCUCACUGGUCGAGUGGUUUUGCGCAGAAAAUGUAACGGGGCUAAGUGUUCAACCGAAGCUUAGGCAUUGUACUUUGUACAUUGGGUAGGGGAGCGUCGUAUGCGGGGCGAAGUCAGAGCGGAAGCACUGGUGGACUGCAUACGAGUGAGAAUGCCGGAAUAAGUAGCGAGAAUUAUGUGAGAAUCAUAAUGGCCGAAAAUCUAAGGUUUCCUGGGGAAGGUUCGUCCGCCCAGGGUUAGUCGGGAGCUAAGCUCAGGCCGAAAGGCGUAGGCGAUGCACAUACGGUAGAAAUUCCGUAACCACCGAACUUUAAGCUAGAGGGACGCUUUCUUUAAGGUUAUCCCGGGCGAUGGUUGCCCCGGGCGUAAGGGACCGAAAUUUAGUAGGGAAGUAACUGGCGAGAGAGACGAGAAAAGCUCUAGUGUAUACUAAGGUGCCCGUACCGCAAACCGACACAGGUAGAAGGGAUGAGUAUUCUAAGGCCAACGGGAGAAGGGUUGUUAAGGAACUCGGCAAAUUGGCCCCGUAACUUCGGGAUAAGGGGCGCCUGCGAGAGCAGGCCGCAGUGAAAAGGCCCAAGCGACUGUUUAGCAAAAACACAGCUCUCUGCUAAAUCGAAAGAUGACGUAUAGGGGGUGACGCCUGCCCGGUGCUGGAAGGUUAAGGGGAGUGCUUAGCGCAAGCGAAGGUGCGAACUUAAGCCCCAGUAAACGGCGGCCGUAACUAUAACGGUCCUAAGGUAGCGAAAUUCCUUGUCAGGUAAGUUCUGACCCGCACGAAUGGCGUAACGA